CCUACGGGUGGCUGCAGUGAGGAAUAUUGGUCAAUGGGCGCGAGCCUGAACCAGCAAUGCCGCGUGAAGGAAGAAGGCUUUCGGGUUGGAAAAUUCUUUGACAGGGGAAGAGCAGAAGACGGUACCCUGAAAAAAAGCUAUGGCUAAAGACGUGCCAGCAGCUGCGGUAAUACGAAGGUGGCAAGCGUUGUCCGGAUUUACUGGGUGUAAAGGGCGUGUAGCCGGGAAGGCAAGUGAGAUGUGAAAUCUGGAGGCUCAACCUCCAAAUUGCAUUUGAAACUGUUUUUCUUGAGUACUGGAGAGGCAGGCGGAAUUCGUGGUGUAGCGGUGAAAUGCGUAGAUAUAAGGAGGAACACCAGUGGCGAAGGCAGUCUGCUGGACAGCAACUGACGGUGAGGCGCGAAAGCGUGGGGAGCAAACAGGAUUAGAUACCCGUGUAGUC
RNAcentral lists this ribosomal RNA (442 nucleotides) under uncultured bacterium. RNAcentral describes it as "partial 16S ribosomal RNA". It matches the Rfam family "Bacterial small subunit ribosomal RNA", at positions 338 to 795 of the family's 1533-position model. The record is from RNAcentral.